This 1101-nucleotide ribosomal RNA is filed under the name Triticum aestivum (bread wheat). RNAcentral's name for it is "partial small subunit ribosomal RNA". The record is from RNAcentral. Lineage: Eukaryota; Viridiplantae; Streptophyta; Magnoliopsida; Poales; Poaceae.
AUGGCGUCGGCACUCCGCCUGCUGCCGUCGACGGCGACGCGCCUCCGCUUUCGUCCCCGCCUCCCUCUCUCCACCGCUGCGUCACUCUUCUCACCGCCCUCCAAGGCCGUCCUCUACGACCAACACGGCCCGCCUGACCAAGUCCUCAGGGUGGAGGAUGUGCCGCCGGUGGAGCUCGGGGAGCGCGGCGUCUGCGUGAAGAUGCUAGCCGCACCCAUCAACCCCUCCGACAUCAACCGCGUCCAGGGCGUCUACCCCGUCAGGCCUCCCCUCCCCGCCGCCGUCGCUGGGUACGAGGGCGUCGGCCAGGUCCACGCCGUUGGCCCCGCCGUCACCCGCCCCCUCUCCCCCGGCGACUGGGUCAUCCCGUCCCCGCCCUCCUUCGGAACAUGGCAGACCUACAUUGUGAAGCUGGAAGAUGUGUGGCACAAGGUUCGUGACGAUGUUCCGGUGGAAUACGCUGCCACUGUCACGGUGAACCCCUUGACAGCGCUCAGGAUGCUGCAGGACUUUGUGAAACUCAAACCUGGUGAUGCUAUUGUGCAGAACGGCUCGACCAGCAUCGUUGGUCAGUGUGUUAUUCAGCUCGCCAAAGUGCAGGGAAUUCGCACCAUCAACAUCAUAAGGGACAGACCUGGGUCAGAAGAAGCAAAAGAGAAACUUAAACAGCUUGGUGCAGAUGAGGUCUUCACCGAAAGUCAGCUAGAUGUAAAGAAUGUCAAGAGCUUGCUGGGCGCUUUACCAGAACCUGCAUUAGGAUUUAACUGCGUUGGAGGAAAUGCUGCAUCUUUGAUACUGAAGUUAUUAAGGCAAGGGGGCACCAUGGUGACAUAUGGCGGAAUGUCCAAGAAACCUGUGACUGUUUCUACUUCGUCUUUCAUAUUUAAGGAUCUUUCUCUCAGAGGGUUCUGGCUACAGAAGUGGAUGAAUUCGGACAAGUCAGAGGAAUGUAGAACAAUGAUAGACUACCUCUUGGGCCUUGUGCAUGAAGGCAAACUUAAAUAUGAGAUGGUGCUGACCCCCUUUAGCGAGUUCAACAUGGCUCUUGAUAAGGCCCUUGGAAAACACGGAAGCCAGCCAAAGCAGGUUCUUAGGUUCUGA